This 253-nucleotide ribosomal RNA is filed under the name uncultured bacterium. RNAcentral describes it as "partial 16S ribosomal RNA". It matches the Rfam family "Bacterial small subunit ribosomal RNA", at positions 524 to 776 of the family's 1533-position model. The record is from RNAcentral.
UACGUAGGGUGCGAGCGUUGUCCGGAAUUAUUGGGCGUAAAGGGCUCGUAGGCGGUCUGUUGCGUCAGGAGUGAAAACUCGGGGCUUAACCCCGAGCCUGCUUCUGAUACGGGCAGACUAGAGGUAUGCAGGGGAGAACGGAAUUCCUGGUGUAGCGGUGAAAUGCGCAGAUAUCAGGAGGAACACCGAUGGCGAAGGCAGGGCUCUGGGCAUUAACUGACGCUGAGGAGCGAAAGCAUGGGGAGCGAACAGG